This 440-nucleotide ribosomal RNA is filed under the name uncultured bacterium. Its description in RNAcentral is "partial 16S ribosomal RNA". It matches the Rfam family "Bacterial small subunit ribosomal RNA", at positions 338 to 795 of the family's 1533-position model. The record is from RNAcentral.
CCUACGGGAGGCAGCAGUGGGGGAUAUUGCACAAUGGGGGAAACCCUGAUGCAGCGACGCCGCGUGUGGGAAGACGGUCUUCUGGAUUGUAAACCACUGUCCCCAGGGACGAAAAUGACGGUACCUUGGGAGGAAGCUCCGGCUAACUACGCGCCAGCAGCGUCGGUAAUACGUGGGGAGCAAGCGUUGUCCGGAAUGACUGGGUGUAAAGGGAGCGGAGGCGGGGGUGCAAGUUGGGUGGCAAAACUAUCGGCUCAACCGAUAGGCGCACUCAAAACUGCAGCUCUUGAGUGAAGUAGAGGCAGGCGGAAGUCCUAGUGUAGCGGUGAAAUGCGUAGAUAUUAGGAGGAACACCAGUGGCGAAGGCGGCCUGCUGGGCGUUUACUGACGCUGAGGCUCGAAAGUGUGGGGAGCAAACAGGAUUAGAUACCCCGGUAGUC